RNAcentral lists this ribosomal RNA (253 nucleotides) under uncultured bacterium. Its description in RNAcentral is "partial 16S ribosomal RNA". It matches the Rfam family "Bacterial small subunit ribosomal RNA", at positions 524 to 776 of the family's 1533-position model. The record is from RNAcentral.
UACGGGGGGGGCAAGCGUUGUUCGGAAUUACUGGGCGUAAAGGGCGCGUAGGCGGUUGGAUAAGUCAGCUGUGAAAACCACGAGCUUAACUCGUGGCCUGCAGUUGAGACUGUCUGGCUUGAGUGUGGGAGAGGAGAGUGGAAUUCCUGGUGUAGCGGUGAAAUGCGCAGAUAUCAGGAAGAACACCGAUGGCGAAGGCAGUUCUCUGGGACGGUACUGACGCUGAGACGCGAAAGCGUGGGGAGCGAACAGG